Molecule: ribosomal RNA, 447 nt
Filed under: uncultured bacterium
Lineage: Bacteria
Description: partial 16S ribosomal RNA
Rfam family: Bacterial small subunit ribosomal RNA
Source: RNAcentral
AACGAACGCUGGCGGCAGGCUUAACACAUGCAAGUCGAACGCCCCGCAAGGGGAGUGGCAGACGGGUGAGUAACGCGUGGGAAUCUACCCAGAUCUACGGAACAACAGUUGGAAACGACUGCUAAUACCGUAUACGCCCUACGGGGGAAAGAUUUAUCGGAUUUGGAUGAGCCCGCGUAAGAUUAGCUAGUUGGUGGGGUAAUGGCCUACCAAGGCGACGAUCUUUAGCUGGUCUGAGAGGAUGAUCAGCCACACUGGGACUGAGACACGGCCCAGACUCCUACGGGAGGCAGCAGUGGGGAAUAUUGGACAAUGGGCGCAAGCCUGAUCCAGCCAUGCCGCGUGAGUGAUGAAGGCCUUAGGGUUGUAAAGCUCUUUCACCGAUGAAGAUAAUGACGGUAGUCGGAGAAGAAGCCCCGGCUAACUUCGUGCCAGCCGCCGCCGUAA